CCAAUGUGAAAAAACAGCGACGCAUCCUAAAUGAAGCAGCUUUCAGUGGGUUUUCUGCCUCCUUUGACCCAACUUCCUUCGCUAGCUGUGAUGAUGUUGACUCUUUUAUGGCUAACUUUAAUAAUCACUGUCUGACUCUGUUAGACACAGUAGCACCAGCUAAAAACGUUGUUAGCACUCAUAAAAAACCUUGUCCAUGGAUGAAUGAAACCAUUUUUAACUUCAAAAGAAGCUGUCGGAAAGUGGAACGGUUGUGGAAAACAACUAAACUGGAAGUGCAUCGACUCCAUCUUAAGGAAAAGAUAAUGGAGCUAAAUGAAAUAAUAAAGCGCGCCCGCUCUACUUAUUUCACUAACCUUGUUCUACAAAAUAAGAGAAACCCCAGAGUCUUGUUCAACACUAUUGAACAUCUUGUUACACCCCCACCGUCCCAUGUCCCUGUACACACAAGGGAUGAUUGUAACAUGUUUUUAAACUUCUUUGUAAAUAAAGUAGAAGAUAUUAGGGCCAGUAUCACGACUCCUUUGGUCAGCUUGUGCACUUCUGUAGCUCCCGUCAGCACAUGGUCCUCCUUCUCUCCUGUCAGCCUACAGGAUAUUCAGGAUCUAGUGAGAAAAAUGAAACCCACAUCGAGCCCUGUGGAUAUUAUUCCAACCUCACUGCUUUUAAAUGUUUUUGAUGAAGUCGGUCCAUGGUUGGUGAAACUGAUCAACCUCUCACUUAAAUCCGGCACAGUCCCCAGCUACUUUAAACACGCCCUAGUAAAUCCCAUUCUCAAAAAGCCUAAUCUUGAUCCAGGUCAGCCUAUAAACUACCGGCCCAUAUCUAAGCUUCCCUUCAUGUCAAAAAUGAUGGAAAAAGUGGUAGCCAAGCAGCUAACAUCAAUCAUGGAAGAUAAUGAUCUUUAUGAUAAAUAUCAAUCUGGUUUUAGGUCGAUCCACUCCACUGAAACUGCCCUUGUGAAGGUUUCCAGUGACGUGAUGAUGGCUGCUGAUUCUGGUCGCUACACAGUUUUAACUUUAUUGGAUUUAACAUCUGCUUUCGACACCGUAGAUCACAACACACUGAUCCAUCGUCUCAAAUCAGAAAUGGGGUUUUCCGGUGCUGUACUACAGUGGUUUGCCUCGUAUAUAAAUGGUAGAACUUUUAAUGUGGCUUUUAAUGAUGUAAUGUCCAAUGUGUCCACCCUGUCAUGUGG
RNAcentral lists this long non-coding RNA (1198 nucleotides) under Gouania willdenowi (blunt-snouted clingfish). RNAcentral describes it as "lncRNA (ENSGWIG00000001127.1)". Lineage: Eukaryota; Metazoa; Chordata; Actinopteri; Blenniiformes; Gobiesocidae. The record is from RNAcentral.